Molecule: ribosomal RNA, 252 nt
Filed under: uncultured bacterium
Lineage: Bacteria
Description: partial 16S ribosomal RNA
Rfam family: Bacterial small subunit ribosomal RNA
Source: RNAcentral
UACGUAGGGUGCGAGCGUUAAUCGGAAUUACUGGGCGUAAAGCGUGCGCAGGCGGUUUUGUAAGCCAGAUGUGAAAUCCCCGGGCUCAACCUGGGAAUGGCAGUGGAAACUGGCGGGCUUGAGUGUGGCAGAGGGGGGUGGAAUUCCGCGUGUAGCAGUGAAAUGCGUAGAGAUGCGGAGGAACACCGAUGGCGAAGGCAGCCCCUGGGCUAACACUGACGCUGAGGCACGAAAGCGUGGGGAGCAAACAGG